RNAcentral lists this ribosomal RNA (465 nucleotides) under Vreelandella stevensii. Its description in RNAcentral is "partial 16S ribosomal RNA". It matches the Rfam family "Bacterial small subunit ribosomal RNA", at positions 338 to 795 of the family's 1533-position model. Lineage: Bacteria; Pseudomonadati; Pseudomonadota; Gammaproteobacteria; Oceanospirillales; Halomonadaceae. The record is from RNAcentral.
CCUACGGGUGGCAGCAGUGGGGAAUAUUGGACAAUGGGGGGAACCCUGAUCCAGCCAUGCCGCGUGUGUGAAGAAGGCCCUCGGGUUGUAAAGCACUUUCAGUGAGGAAGAACGCCUGGUGGUUAAUACCCAUCAGGAAAGACAUCACUCACAGAAGAAGCACCGGCUAACUCCGUGCCAGCAGCCGCGGUAAUACGGAGGGUGCGAGCGUUAAUCGGAAUUACUGGGCGUAAAGCGCGCGUAGGUGGCUUGAUAAGCCGGUUGUGAAAGCCCCGGGCUCAACCUGGGAACGGCAUCCGGAACUGUCAAGCUAGAGUGCAGGAGAGGAAGGUAGAAUUCCCGGUGUAGCGGUGAAAUGCGUAGAGAUCGGGAGGAAUAACAGUGGCGAAGGCGGCCUUCUGGACUGACACUGACACUGAGGUGCGAAAGCGUGGGUAGCAAACAGGAUUAGAGACCCUAGUAGUC